UGUGCGCUUACACACUCAUAUCUGUAGUAGCCAGAGCGGUGAGCCGCGCACAUUUCAAUUCCCUUAGUUAUCUGAAAGCAGUCUGAGGAAUCGGUUGCGGCUCAUCGUCACCGGAUGAUAGGCAAUCGUCUAUUUAAAAUUGAUCGGCCACAGUUGCGAUUAUUAGUUAGUGUUUAGUUUUCGCCUUCUUGCCACCACGGCUUAACUAAUACGUCCACAAUCAGUACGGGAAGAGGUGUGCACUUUUAUACACAUACUAAGAAGCUAGUGCAUCGCGCAACAGUGGUACACGCAACGCAUUACUCAAUAUUCGUUUCUUGAUUCCGCACAUAAAGGCAAAAUUAAACGGACGGAAAAAAGUGAAAUGUAUUUAAAUUUAGUGAGUCGAAACGAGCUGUGACUGCAAGAAGCAAAAAAAUUGCAAAAGUAAAAACAAAGACAAUUCUAAAAUAGUAGUCGUAGUGAAAAACCCCUAAACAAAAUCUGAUAAAAGUUGAAGCAGCAUUUGCGCGAGUUGUUGCCUACAUAUCUUCCAGUCAAUACUAAAUAAGUGCGUACACAUAUUACUCCCGUAUUGAAACAGAUCCAUAUCAAUACAUGUUUGUGUGAGAGGUUAGGUCGCCUGCAUACCGUAUACUUGCCUUCACCCAAUCACAUACAAGCAUGUAAGUGCAUACUUUGGCAAAUGUAAAGUAAGGCAAACUGUCGUAGAAAGUGUCGCAUACAUUGUAAACAGCUGAACGCCUUUUCGCCUUAGUGCAUAGCGCUAACACCACAUCGCCCUUCAUCGAUCGACCGGUUAUCGCCUUCCUCAUCAAUAUUGAAAAUAACCACCAUUACUUCCGUAGAUACCAACAGCUGAGUCUGCGUUAAACAACUAAAUCGAGCCUAACAAAGAUAAUAACUAACUAUCGUAAAAAAACAAUAGCUGGUACGAUAAUAGCAACAGCAGCAUUACAUAGUUGUCAUAAUAAUAACAAAGACGACAACAACGUCAGCAACGUCAACUGAAAGAACUGUGCAUCGGCGGCAACGACAAAUUUUGUGGAAGGCUGUCUUUUAUUUAUUUAUUCAAUACACUGCAG
Long non-coding RNA from Rhagoletis zephyria (snowberry fruit fly), 1085 nucleotides. RefSeq lists it as uncharacterized. NCBI's taxonomy places the organism in Eukaryota, Metazoa, Arthropoda, Insecta, Diptera, Tephritidae. The record is from RefSeq and is a predicted model, not a curated record.